GAUGAUAUGAUGCUGACAUGUAAAGACCUGCCUCUGCUAUGGGACACUCUGCAGACUUUGCUGGAACAUCUGAGUCGGAGGAUGUGUGGUGAACCCGCGGGAAGCUCAAGACCCAGGCACCGCCGUUCAGGUUGAGCCUCUCACGAGGGGAGAGCACAUCACGGCGCUGAACACCGCCCGCCCCCCCGACACUGGCAUUCAGAGAGCUGAUGCCCCAGCCCAGGUAAAGCCACCUUGGCCGGGUGGACGAAAGGAUUGUUGCAGGCUUAAUGCAUUUGAAUGACCAACCAACCACCCCAUCUACCAGUCUGGGGACCCCUGCCAAAGCACCCAAUUCCAAAAAGGUAUUGGAGUCUCCGGAGAUAACGACUGCCCUGACUCUCACGGUGGAUCAAUGCGCUGGGCUGCUGAGGACACCAAGCCCCAUCCCGCCUGGGAGGGGCAUUAUCUACUGGAAUUUACAAUGGGAUGUCCCACCG
Zalophus californianus (California sea lion) is the source of this 479-nucleotide long non-coding RNA. RefSeq lists it as uncharacterized. The record is from RefSeq and is a predicted model, not a curated record. The transcript has 3 exons. NCBI's taxonomy places the organism in Eukaryota, Metazoa, Chordata, Mammalia, Carnivora, Otariidae.